AUGUGUUAAUAGCACACUAUAUCCCAUCCUACUGUAUUUGAACUUCCUGUGAAAACAAUAGCCUGUGGUGAAACAGCUUGUCAUGGAUACUAAUGAAAAAUUGCCCAAGAUAUCCUGAUGGGAAUCCUCCUACAUUCACUCUGCCCCCGAGGUCUGGGAAUUCACUGAACACAAAACGCUGCCAGCCGUGGUAGAGUAAACUGAAGGAGUUUGUAGUCACAAAGGACUUGCACAUGUCAAGUUACUGAUGAGCUCAGAAGAAGUGAGGUACCGUGAGGAAUGUUGAGAAAACUACAGAAAUAAAAUGGAGAUAACCUGAGGCAAUGGAGAUCAACUUGCAGUUAUACAAUUAACGAAUCAUCCAUCUGUCCAAGAUGACUCCCACUACAUAAAGUGACGGUAGGAGAUGUGGAUACGGAGAUGUAUGAAAAACCCAGAGCUGCCACCCCAACUUCUUUCCCCUACAACCACCUGCUCUUUCAACUCAAGGGAAAGUGGACUAAGUCAUUCUCGUCAUAGAAUCACAUUCUCUAAAUCAUGCACGAGUGUCAGGAAUUAGAAGAACUAAAAGAAUAAAUAAAAUUUGG
Molecule: long non-coding RNA, 587 nt
Organism: Equus caballus (horse)
Lineage: Eukaryota; Metazoa; Chordata; Mammalia; Perissodactyla; Equidae
Source: RefSeq, a predicted model, not a curated record